Molecule: ribosomal RNA, 253 nt
Filed under: uncultured bacterium
Lineage: Bacteria
Description: partial 16S ribosomal RNA
Rfam family: Bacterial small subunit ribosomal RNA
Source: RNAcentral
UACGUAGGGCGCAAGCGUUGUCCGGAAUUACUGGGCGUAAAGAGCUCGUAGGUGGUUUGUCACGUUGUUCGUGAAAACUCACAGCUUAACUGUGGGCGUGCGGGCGAUACGGGCAGACUAGAGUGAUGUAGGGGAGACUGGAAUUCCUGGUGUAGCGGUGAAAUGCGCAGAUAUCAGGAGGAACACCAAUAGCGAAGGCAGCUCGCUGGGACGUUACUGACACUGAGGCGCGAAAGCGUGGGGAGCGAACAGG